GGAGUAUUGAAAUACAUAUAAAUAUAUAAUACACAUAGUAUAGUUUAAUAAAUAUAAUGGCCACCAUUUGUUGAAUGCUUGCCAUGUGGAAGGCGCUAUAAAAUAUUUUCCAAAUCCCUAUAAAAUAUGACCUCAUCUUCAGAACUCGGCUGAGGCCAUGGAGUCAGGGGUGGCAAGCCAGGAUUUGAGCCUAGUCUGUCGGAAUCCUAAGCUUAGAGCUCUUACCUCCCACUCCUCCUCUUUUUGGUCAAGGGCACGUGGGGGCCGUACAUCAGUCCCCUCCCAGCCCAGGAGGGACUAUGGGACUAUGCCUCGGGCCUGCUGUAAGCGUGGAGCAAAGAAGCAAAGUCAGAUAAAGCCUGGAAAGAUAUUAGAAUUAGCAUCAGGCAUUUAAUAGAGAGAUUCUCAAUCUGUCUUUUUGAAGGUUUGAAUGUCUGCAUGUGGGGGACCCUGGAGAUCAGCAUGCUUGGGGGGUCCUGGCAGGCUCCAAACUACGCCCACACCCACCACCCCUUCCAGCGAGCACCCCUGAUGCUCCAGGCUGCCCUCUGCCCCAUCCAUCUCUGUGCCUAUGGAGGUAAGCACCAGGGAUAAAUGCUAUUGAAGGAAUAUUGUGGUGUCACUGGGAUCCAGGAGACUCUGGCUCUAGGGACGGUCCGCUUUCCAAUACUCACUAUGACCCUUCCCGUAGCCUCCAGUAUCUCCCAGUUGGAGGAAGAGGUGGAGUCAGCAGACCCGGAACCAUCAUUUCAGCAUAGUAAGGUCUCUCCUCACUUGCCUAAACACCGGAGGAGGCAGCCUUGGUAUUCCGUUUUCCAAGAUAUGAAGCUUGGUAUAUUAAUCAGAAUCCUUCGUGAGCAAGGGGCAGCAAUCAACUCAGACUUAGAAAGAGUCCAGAUGGGCUCAUUCCGGGGCUUCGCGUGCGCGUGGGGCCCAACCCAGGCCCUUGCGCGGGGUCGCAGUCGGGACGGCCCUGCCCCAGGUGUGGCUCGGAGGCUGCCGCUGGUAUUAAUGACUUUACCUUUGGGUUUGUGUCUGUAAGUGACAUCUGGUGUGGCAUCGGAGCUUGGGCCAGAGGUGCAGAGGUGUG
This 1090-nucleotide long non-coding RNA is filed under the name Vulpes vulpes (red fox). Its description in RNAcentral is "lncRNA (ENSVVUG00000017812.1)". The record is from RNAcentral. Lineage: Eukaryota; Metazoa; Chordata; Mammalia; Carnivora; Canidae.